AUUGAACGCUGGCGGCAUGCCUUACACAUGCAAGUCGAACGGCAGCAUGAUCUAGCUUGCUAGAUUGAUGGCGAGUGGCGAACGGGUGAGUAAUACAUCGGAACGUGCCCUGUAGUGGGGGAUAACUAGUCGGAAGAUUAGCUAAUACCGCAUACGACCUGAGGGUGAAAGUGGGGGACCGCAAGGCCUCAUGCUAUAGGAGCGGCCGAUGUCUGAUUAGCUAGUUGGUGAGGUAAAGGCUCACCAAGGCGACGAUCAGUAGCUGGUCUGAGAGGACGAUCAGCCACACUGGGACUGAGACACGGCCCAGACUCCUACGGGAGGCAGCAGUGGGGAAUUUUGGACAAUGGGCGAAAGCCUGAUCCAGCAAUGCCGCGUGUGUGAAGAAGGCCUUCGGGUUGUAAAGCACUUUUGUCCGGAAAGAAAUGGCUCUGGUUAAUACCUGGGGUCGAUGACGGUACCGGAAGAAUAAGAACCGGCUAACUACGUG
RNAcentral lists this ribosomal RNA (490 nucleotides) under uncultured bacterium. Its description in RNAcentral is "partial 16S ribosomal RNA". It matches the Rfam family "Bacterial small subunit ribosomal RNA", at positions 30 to 507 of the family's 1533-position model. The record is from RNAcentral.